RNAcentral lists this long non-coding RNA (3353 nucleotides) under Malus domestica (apple). Its description in RNAcentral is "long non-coding RNA (MDOM_LNC013804)". The record is from RNAcentral. Lineage: Eukaryota; Viridiplantae; Streptophyta; Magnoliopsida; Rosales; Rosaceae.
UUGGAUGCCGUGGGCCCUAGUAAGGAGUGAAUGAGGUCUUCGUCCGGCUGUACGACGUUAAAGCAAGCGCUACUUGGGAGGCAACCCAUGCAUUCAACAAAGGACGACCUAGAAAGCACUCCAAUUCCAGAUUUGCGUUCCUAAACCCUUCUCUUUGUUGUUAUUUCAUUCAUGCCAUAUUAGAUUGUUAGUUGCUGUUUUGUGGUUUGUUUGUUAAUUGUGUUAGUUUAUGCUUGAAACAUUGAGGACAAUGUUUGAUUUAAGUAUGGGGGGUAACCAAAGUAUUUUCUUGCAAAUUCGUAGGGUUUACUCACUCAUGAUUUCUAAUGUUGUUUCUUGCUGUUUUUAAGCCUUUUUAAGCUAUUUUGGUGUGUUUUGAGUCAAAAAUCCGAAAAUCCCAUAAAAAUUUGAAAAAAUUGUUUUAAAAAACCCAAAAAGUGUUGUUUUUGUGUGUUUGUUUGUGUCUUAGGGUACCUUCCAACACAAUGAUGAGGAUUCGGUUUGUAAUUGCAUGAUUGUUAAAGAGAGUUAUAAACAUGGAUAAAAGUUUGAUUUACUCUUUGGUUUAUGCUUGGUUGUGGUUAUAACUUAUGCAUUCACAUGUAAUCAUAAGGAAAAAAUUAGUUUUUAUAACAUGCUUGAAGGAAGGAACUCAAACAAACGCUACAACCUUGUGAGACUUGAGCCUAAACGUUUAUUUGGAGAGUUAAAAUCUGUGUAUUCUUGUUUUCUAAAGUCGUUGCAUGAUCUCAUUAUUCUUUGCUUGGUUACUACUUAGAAGGCGUUUCAUCAUUUAGUUCCAAAUGCUAGAACUCAUGCCAAUUUCAUUCAAAACAUGUUAUUGAAUUACAUAACACAUAUUCAAGAUAAAGUUAGUAGUUACCACCAUUACCAAAAAGCCUUCAUUCCAUGCAUUCGUUUUUGUAGGUUUAACCCCGUUGAGCCUCGUUUAGCCUAUGUUGUUUGUUAACCCACAUUAUCCUUACCUAGCCUAGAUUAGGAUUAUCCAUACCCUUGUUCUUAGAACGUAGUUAAGCAUGACUCAAGACGAAUUCCUUUGAUCGUGGUAUUGCAGAAACAUAAGUGUGGGGGAAAGAUUCUUGAUAUGGGAAUGUGCCAAAAUUCAUAUUGAGGCACGGGUUAGGAGAAAAGAAAAAAAAAGAAAAAAGAGAAAAAUUCGUGCAAAAUAGAAAGAAAAGAAAAAUAGUUGUGAAAAGUAUGAAAAGGAGUUGGAAGAGCAUAAAAAUAAGCUCUAAGUGUUGGUUGUUGAAGAAAGGGUCCAAAAAGUUGCAUUUGACCCUAAAUAUGCAUGCAUAUUCCCCUUUGUGUUUAAAGUUGUUUUCUGCACUCUAAAGUGAAUUCUAAGUGUCAAUUUCAUUGCUUUGCUUACUAUUGUUUUAAGAACGUUUGUUUAUCCUUUACUCUUCUUUGUUAGCCAAUACCCCAAGCCCCGUUACAACCCUUUACUUUAAUCUUGAGUGUUAUGUGUUUCAAUUUGUGGAGUUUAACAUUGGUAUGAGCAUAUGGUGUCACUAGUUCUCGCAUCUAAGUAGUAGCAUUCCAUUCAUGAGAUCAUAUUUAAACAUGUUGUUAACUCCGGAAAGUGCUUCCUUUGUCAUACAUAUAUGUGAGCAUUCGUUUUCAUAUUUUACAUCUAAUCUUCUCACAUAUAACUAGUAUAUGGUGUGUAGUCAGAAAUUCUGUGUGAAAAUUGAGUGCAUAUCUAGUAAGGAAUUGAGCAAAUUCUCUAAGGCAUGUUACUACAUUCAAAACAUCGUUUUAAUUGGUUAUUUGUGAACUAAUAAGUAGUGACUAUGAUUAAGUAUGUGCUUAAGCGUAAAGAUGGCUAAAAUCUGUGGGAAUGAUGAUUUUUAACAUGUCAUGUGCAUUGGAAAUCCCUGAGGCGAUUGUUGGAAGGCUUAGGUUGUGUUUUACUCGUUUUGUUUCGUUUAUUUACUUUGUUUCGUUUUGUUUUGCUCGAGGACUAGCAAAAGCUAAGUGUGGGGGAAUUUGAUAGGAGCAUAUUUAUGCGCCUUAGUUUAGCUUGUUCUUGUGCAUUUAUAGUGUUUUUCCUUAGUAAAGUAGUCUUUUAAGCUAGUUUUAUGUGUUUUCAGGUUCUAAGGGCAAAGUAUGCAAAAGGAUGCAUUUUGGAGCCUUUUGGAGCAAAUUAGAGCUUGGAAUGGACAUCAUAUGCUUGGAGCCAAGAGGAUGGACGAAAUUGAAGAUGAUAUUUCCUACCUGAACAAGGUUUCCUAGUCGAAGUAGGAAAGCGCCUAAGUAAAAGAUGGAAUCCUAGUUGAAUUAGGAUUCCUAGUUGAAAUAGGUUUCCUAGUGAAAUUGGGAUUCCUAGAAGAUAAAGAUUCCUACUCAAACAAGGUUUCCUACUUGGAGUAGGAAAGUCAAAAUCCAAAUGGUCUCAAGAGAAGCAACAAAGAAGUUUUCCAAGUCCAAGAAGGAAAAGGAUUCCAAGAUGAAGAAGGAAAGACAAAGACAUGGUUUCCUAAUCCUAAUAGGCAAAGUUUCCAAGUGAAAUGAGGAGUCCUUAUCCAUUUAGGGCACCUUAUCCAUUUAGGACACCUAAACCUUAUCCUUAUCCCUUAGUGCCGCACCCUAAACCUUCUAGAAACCUGAUUUCCUUGCCUUGCAAGGCCAUCUAGAAGCCUUAUCCUUAUAAUCCAUUCCUGCCGCACCUAGGGUGACCUUUCCUACCCAAAAUCUGAUUGUUUUAAGCCCUUUCCUGAUGGGAUUUAAUCCUCCAAGUCCUAAUCUGAUUUGCAAGACUUUUAGGACCCUAUAAAUACAUGAUGCCGCACCCUUCACAUUCACCACUCACCACAAUUCACAAUUCACUCCAGAAAUUCACAAGAACCCUUUGCCGCACCAAUUCACUCCCAUUCACCAUACAAUCUGACCUUGCCGCACCCCCCACCCUUCCUAAACACUUCUACCUUAGUCCAUACUCAUCCACCCAUACAUAUAAGUCCCAACCUGUCCCUAAAGUCCUUUGCCGCAGCAAGGAGGAGGAGAAUGAGCCUUGGAAGUUCAUGCCGUGCAAGUUCAAGUGGCUGGAAGUUUUAGGUGUUUCCUUCCCUUUGAUUUCAAUGUUUAAACUUAUUACUCUUUGUUUUAUGCUUAUGAGGAACUAAACCCCCCUUGGCUAGGGGGGGAUUCGAAAUACAUGAUUAUGCUUGCGAUAUGAUUUGAUUACUUCUAAUUGCGUUUCAUAAGUUGUGAAUUCAAUUUACUUAUCUAUAUGAAUUACAUUGAUUUUGUGUGUAUUGGUUGAGAGUGCACGCUUAAUUAUCAUGCAUAAAUUGAAUGCUAGGAUAUAAGGAAAUUUCACCUAAUCGUUA